Poecilia latipinna (sailfin molly) is the source of this 532-nucleotide long non-coding RNA. RefSeq lists it as uncharacterized. The transcript is spliced from 3 exons. Lineage: Eukaryota; Metazoa; Chordata; Actinopteri; Cyprinodontiformes; Poeciliidae. The record is from RefSeq and is a predicted model, not a curated record.
CCACAGCACAGCAGCCUCCCCCAAUCCACAGCUGCAUACAGAUGGACUUAGCACAAGUUUUAUACCGAAUGCCCUUCCUGAUGCAAACCUUCCUGUUGUCAGCAACAAGGAGUGGGUUUCAAACGAGAACCAACUUGCAGGGCCACUUGCUGUCGCAUCUGAGCCAUUGACAACCUCAAUAAGAAAUGAACAGCAUUUUGAGACAACAGGGGAUGUCACCUUUUACUCAUGUGAGGGAAUUUACAGCGUUAUUCCAGAUGAUUCAUCUGCAGGACCAAGUACUUCACGUGUGCUGUACGCCACUUCUUUCAAAAAAAAGGCAUCAUGGAAGUCACCAGAACAAGACUUCACCUGAAUGUGAUGCAUAAAUCCAUUACAUGCAUGUAUUUUGUUCAUUUCAUCGUUGUGCUACUCCAGGACAAUGCAACAGUGUUGACCUGACAGAUUAAGCCACAAGGACAGUGCAUUGUUCAUACAACUUGAACUUUUCACAUUUUGUCACAUAAUUUCAAAUGACUUUGAAAAUGCAAAG